UCCACAUACGCAUCCUUUGCUGAGGAUACGGUUAACGGAGCGCAAGCGACGUUCAACCUCAAAAGAAGCAGAGGGGGCUUAGUGGUGGGGUGACUGCGUACCUUUUGUAUAAUGGGUCAGCGACUUAUAUUCUGUAGCAAGGUUAACCGAAUAGGGGAGCCGGAGGGAAACCGAGUCUUAACCGGGCGUUAAGUUGCAGGGUAUAGACCCGAAACCCGGUGAUCUAGCCAUGGGCAGGUUGAAGGUUGGGUAACACUAACUGGAGGACCGAACCGACUAAUGUUGAAAAAUUAGCGGAUGACCUGUGGCUGGGGGUGAAAGGCCAAUCAAACCGGGAGAUAGCUGGUUCUCCCCGAAAGCUAUUUAGGUAGCGCCUCGUGAAUUCAUCUUCGGGGGUAGAGCACUGUUUCGGCUAGGGGGUCAUCCCGACUUACCAACCCGAUGCAAACUGCGAAUACCGAAGAAUGUUAUCACGGGAGACACACGGCGGGUGCUAACGUCCGUCGUGAAGAGGGAAACAACCCAGACCGCCAGCUAAGGUCCCAAAGUCAUGGUUAAGUGGGAAACGAUGUGGGAAGGCCCAGACAGCCAGGAUGUUGGCUUAGAAGCAGCCAUCAUUUAAAGAAAGCGUAAUAGCUCACUGGUCGAGUCGGCCUGCGCGGAAGAUGUAACGGGGCUAAACCAUGCACCGAAGCUGCGGCAGCGACACUCAGGUGUUGUUGGGUAGGGGAGCGUUCUGUAAGCCUGUGAAGGUGUGUCGUGAGGCAUGCUGGAGGUAUCAGAAGUGCGAAUGCUGACAUAAGUAACGAUAAAGCGGGUGAAAAGCCCGCUCGCCGGAAGACCAAGGGUUCCUGUCCAACGUUAAUCGGGGCAGGGUGAGUCGACCCCUAAGGCGAGGCCGAAAGGCGUAGUCGAUGGGAAACGGGUUAAUAUUCCCGUACUUGGUGUUACUGCGAAGGGGGGACGGAGAAGGCUAUGUUGGCCGGGCGACGGUUGUCCCGGUUUAAGCGUGUAGGUGUGUGUUCCAGGUAAAUCCGGUUCACUUUAACACUGAGGCGUGAUGACGAGGCACUACGGUGCUGAAGCAACAAAUGCCCUGCUUCCAGGAAAAGCCUCUAAGCAUCAGGUAACAU
This 1133-nucleotide ribosomal RNA is filed under the name Salmonella enterica. Its description in RNAcentral is "bacterial LSU rRNA". It matches the Rfam family "Bacterial large subunit ribosomal RNA", at positions 568 to 1637 of the family's 2925-position model. RNAcentral also lists the same sequence under 2 other names. The record is from RNAcentral. Lineage: Bacteria; Pseudomonadati; Pseudomonadota; Gammaproteobacteria; Enterobacterales; Enterobacteriaceae.